CCUACGGGUGGCUGCAGUGAGGAAUAUUGGUCAAUGGGCGCGAGCCUGAACCAGCCAAGUCGCGUGAGGGAAGACGGCCCUACGGGUUGUAAACCUCUUUUGCCGGGGAGCAACGGGCGCCACGUGUGGUGCCACUGAGAGUACCCGGAGAACAAGCAUCGGCUAACUUCGUGCCAGCAGCCGCGGUAAUACGGAGGAUGCGAGGGUUAUCCGGAUUUAUUGGGUUAAAAGGGUGCGUAGGCGGAGCGUUAAGUCAGUGGUCAAAUUGAGGGGCGCAACCCUUUCCAGCCAUUGAAACUGGCGCUCUUGAGUGGAAGAGAAGGGUGCGGAAUGCGUGGUGUAGCGGUGAAAUGCAUAGAUAUCACGCAGAACCCCGAUUGCGAAGGCAGCAUGCCGGCUUCCGACUGACGCUGAAGCACGAAAGCGUGGGGAUCGAACAGGAUUAGAUACCCGGGUAGUC
This 460-nucleotide ribosomal RNA is filed under the name uncultured bacterium. Its description in RNAcentral is "partial 16S ribosomal RNA". It matches the Rfam family "Bacterial small subunit ribosomal RNA", at positions 338 to 795 of the family's 1533-position model. The record is from RNAcentral.